Molecule: long non-coding RNA, 2393 nt
Filed under: Homo sapiens (human)
Lineage: Eukaryota; Metazoa; Chordata; Mammalia; Primates; Hominidae
Description: HSALNT0184825
Source: RNAcentral
CCCGGCGGAAGAAGGGGGCUCUCCAAGCACACCUGGCAGCCUGCAGCCUUUAGGUUUCUUCCCUGUUCCCUCUGCUGCCGACUUUUCUUUCACUUUCACUUAGAGCAAGAUGGCAGCCCGCGUCCCUGUGUGAAGCCGUCUGCAGCAGCUGCCAGAGCCCUGCUUGCUGUUUCCUUUCUCACCACCCACCUCACCCGGAAAUCCCCUGUCUCGAAAAGGCACUCUGUCACGUGUACACAGGAAAGGGCCCUGACAAGAGGAUGGGACUGCAGUUGUGGCUGCCAGAGUCUUGCUUUGUCGCCCAGGUUGGAGUGCAGUGGCACGAUCUCGGCUCAGUGCAACCUCCGCCUCCUGAGUUCAAGUGAUUCUCCUGCCUCAGCCUCCCUAGUAGCUGGGAUUACAGGACAAGGAGAGGGACAAAUUCCUUCUUGGCAUCCUUAUGGCCCUGUGACCUGCUAAUGAAUGCUGACUCUGAGUUGCUACUAGAAUUUGGUUUCCUUGUGGCUUCCCAGGAAUUGUGAGCCAUGUUGGAUAAGGACCUGCAAGGGAAGAAUGAGGAAGCCUGGGACAGUGCAGGAGGGGAGAGCACUGGUGGUAGAGAGGAGUGAUGACAAGGGUCUCCGCCAAAAGGGAAAUGGAGGGGUUAAAGAAGCUGCUGGGGAGGGUUAAAAACAAUGUGUUCUCACUCGUAGGUGGGAAUUGAACAAUGAGAACACUUGGACACAGGAAGGGGAACAUCACACACUGGGGCCUGUCGUGGGGUGUGGGGAGGGAGGAGGGAUAGCAUUAGGAGAUAUACCUAAUGUAAAUGAUGAGUUAAUGGGUGCAGCACACCAACAUGGCACAUGUAUACCUAUGUAACAAACCUGCACAUUGUGUACAUGUACCCUAGAACUUAAAGUAUAAUUAAAAAACAAAACAAAACAAAACAAAAACAAUGAGGUGCUAUUGUUUUAGUGGUGAGUAUCCGGAGACCUGGGAGUUCUAUUUACCAGGUAUAACCUGGGCUCAAAAUUCCAGGCUGACUUCAGGCAUGUCCUCAUCUCAUAGAUGCCAGCACUAAGGCCCAGAGAGGGCCGAGCUCAUUCAGCCCACCCAUCUUCUCACCCCUGACUGCAUUUCCCGGGGGUCCUUCUGCAGCCAGGUGCUGCUGUGGUACUUUGGGAUCUAUUGGCUGAGCUCCCAGAGAAGGGUCAUGGAUUGGGCUAGUUUGGAACAAGUGAAGGGACUGAAGAUGGGCUCAGUAUGGGGCGAAGACCUUCAGGAAGGGUCUGCAGAGUGAGUAGGGGGGUUUUGACUAGGAAAAGUUCCAACCCUGCCGGGGCCGCUGUCAAGAGAAAAGCAUCUAUUACAGUUACAUUUUUAAGUUAAGUAGACUGAAGAAUAUUUCUUGUGUAUUAAAGACGUUCCUUUUUGGUUGAUUUGCAAUGGAAAAGCUUUUGUUUUCUUUUUUUUUUUGGAAACAGGGUCUCACUCUGCUCACUCUGUCUCCCAAGCUGGAGUGCAGUGGUACAGUCACGGCUCACUGCAGCCUCCACUUCCUGGACUCAAGUGAUCUUCUCACUUCAGCCUUCUGAGUAGCUGGGACUACAGCCCCCUCUGCAGCUCUUCAUGGGGGUCCACUCAAGUCAGAAGCCACAUUUGGGUGUGAUUCAGAGAGCUGUUUAUGCAAAACCAGCUUUGUCACCAUCAGGCAAGGCACCUGAAUUCCCACCGCAGAGAGUGUUGUGGCCGUGAGGACUUUUCUGUCACCAGCCAUUUCCAGGUAGACCCAGUGUAAUCACAAGCAUCCUUGUAAGUGGCAAAGAGGCAGAGGAGACAGCGCCAGAGAGGCAGCUGCAUGAGAAGGAUCAAGAUGUUGCUGACUUUGAAGUUGGAAGAAGAAGGCCAUGAGCCUCAGUAUGUGGGCGGCUUCUAGAAGCUGGAAGGGGCAAGGAGAUGGAUUUGACCCUUCAGCCUCCAGGGGCAGCUGUACCUGCCAUCACUGAUUGUAGCCUGGUGAGGCCUGUUUUAGACUUCUGACCUGUAGAGCUGUAACAUAAUACAUUUGGGUUGUUUUCAACCACUAAGUUUGUGGUAAUUUGUUGUAGCAGCUGUAGAAAAUGAAUACAUAUGAAUCCUCUGGCAUUUGUUUGAGAUUUGCUCUAUGGCCUAGUAUGUGGUUGUAAAUGUUCCAUCUGUGCCUGAAAAAAUGUAUAUUUCUAAUUCAGUAGUCUCUGCUUUUUUUUUUUAUUUUGUACCCCAUCAAUAAAAUGAUUUUCAGCAUGUAUCCCCAAAUAAACAAUAUUUUAUUUAUUGAUUGAUUGAUAAACAGACAUGUUUAAUGAUAGCUUGCUUUUCACAGAGGUGACUUCGGAGACUUCUAAUCUAUAAUCCAGGAGUAUAUAACCAUG